This 466-nucleotide ribosomal RNA is filed under the name uncultured bacterium. RNAcentral describes it as "partial 16S ribosomal RNA". It matches the Rfam family "Bacterial small subunit ribosomal RNA", at positions 28 to 507 of the family's 1533-position model. The record is from RNAcentral.
GACGAACGCUGGCGGCGUGCUUAACACAUGCAAGUCGAACGGUAAGGCUCCAGCUUGCUGGGGUACACGAGUGGCGAGCGGGUGAGUAACACGUGGGUGACCUGCCCUGCACUUCGGGAUAAGCCUGGGAAACUGGGUCUAAUACCGGAUAGGACCAUGGUGUGGAUACUGUGGUGGAAAGUUUUUUCGGUGUGGGAUGGGCCCGCGGCCUAUCAGCUUGUUGGUGGGGUAAUGGCCUACCAAGGCGGCGACGGGUAGCCGGCCUGAGAGGGUGGACGGCCACAUUGGGACUGAGACACGGCCCAGACUCCUACGGGAGGCAGCAGUGGGGAAUAUUGCACAAUGGGCGGAAGCCUGAUGCAGCGACGCCGCGUGGGGGAUGACGGCCUUCGGGUCGUAAACUCCUUUCACCAUCGACGAAGGGUUUCUGACGGUAGAUGGAGAAGAAGCACCGGCUAACUACGUG